UCAACGGCCCUUAUCAGGGCCACCAUAAGAGUCACUUAAUACUUUG
Non-coding RNA from Rhodnius prolixus, 46 nucleotides. The record is from Rfam. Lineage: Eukaryota; Metazoa; Arthropoda; Insecta; Hemiptera; Reduviidae.